RNAcentral lists this long non-coding RNA (331 nucleotides) under Androctonus crassicauda. The record is from RNAcentral. Lineage: Eukaryota; Metazoa; Arthropoda; Arachnida; Scorpiones; Buthidae.
UGUUUUUUGCAUUCAGAUGUGUUUUGAAAAUGUUUAUCAAAACUGUACACUAACAGAUUAUAUGUGUUUGUUUAGUUUUCCUCUGUUCUGUGAGUCUGGCCUACUGGAAUCCCAAAUACUUGUACACUUCACCCUCUUCUAUGGAUUCAGGAGUCUCUCCAUUUUCAAGAGUGGAGUCUCCCUUCUUCAGGACUCCCUUUUCUAUGUGGAGUGUUUUGCAUUUGUCUAGAUCAAACUCCACGCAGAUGUCUUUUGAAAAAGUGUAUGUGAUUUGUAACAGCUGUUGUAAUUGUGUUUGUGUUGAGGAGUACAGCUUAAUGUCAUCCAUCUA